ACUCCUACGGGAGGCAGCAGUGGGGAAUAUUGCACAAUGGGCGCAAGCCUGAUGCAGCCAUGCCGCGUGCAUAAGUGAAGGCAUCGGGGCUUUCGGGUUGAAAUGAAAUAGUCACUUUUUUCCAAGGCCAAGGUUGGAAGGGAAAGGUGGAUGCGUUAAUAGCGUAUUCAUUUGACGUUAGCUGCAGAAGAAGCACCGGCUAACUCCGUGCCAGCAGCCGCGGUAAUACGGAGGGUGCGAGCGUUAAUCGGAAUUACUGGGCGUAAAGCGCAUGCAGGUGGUUUGUUAAGUCAGAUGUGAAAGCCCGGGGCUCAACCUCGGAAUAGCAUUUGAAACUGGCAGACUAGAGUACUGUAGAGGGGGUAGAAUUUCAGGUGUAGCGGUGAAAUGCGUAGAGAUCUGAAGGAAUACCGGUGGCGAAGGCGGCCCCCUGGACAGAUACUGACACUCAGAUGCGAAAGCGUGGGGAGCAAACAGGAUUAGAUACCCUGGUAGCUACG
Molecule: ribosomal RNA, 500 nt
Filed under: uncultured bacterium
Lineage: Bacteria
Description: bacterial SSU rRNA
Rfam family: Bacterial small subunit ribosomal RNA
Source: RNAcentral